Molecule: ribosomal RNA, 332 nt
Filed under: uncultured bacterium
Lineage: Bacteria
Description: bacterial SSU rRNA
Rfam family: Bacterial small subunit ribosomal RNA
Source: RNAcentral
AGCGAACGCUGGCGGCGUGCCUAACACAUGCAAGUCGAGCGAAGGCAUGAGUGUAGCAAUACACUUAUGUACUUAGCGGCGGACGGGUGAGUAACACGUGGAUAAUCUGCCCUGGGGACCGGGACAACUCUUGGAAACGGGAGCUAAUACCGGAUGUGACCACGAUGCUUGAGGGCAUUGGGGUAAAAGGCGGCCUGCAAGGGCUGUUGCUUCGGGAUGAGUCACGACCCAUCAGGUAGUUGGGGGGUAAGAGCCCACCAAGCCGAAGACGGGUAGCUGGUCUAAGAGGAUGAUCAGCCACACGGGAACUGAGACACGGUCCCGACUCCUAC